Gorilla gorilla gorilla (western lowland gorilla) is the source of this 3280-nucleotide long non-coding RNA. RefSeq lists it as uncharacterized. The transcript has 4 exons. The record is from RefSeq and is a predicted model, not a curated record. Lineage: Eukaryota; Metazoa; Chordata; Mammalia; Primates; Hominidae.
ACAGGGGACCAAGCCUACCCCGGGGAUGGAAAAAUCCGGCUGAGACGGCCUGGGCCGCUGCCACGUGCGGGCGCUAUUCUCCACCCACCUGCGGCCUGAAGAUGCCUGAGGCCCGGACUCUCAGACCCCUAUUGCCCUUUGGUGCUGGAGGCCCAGCGGCAGCCUGAAGCCCAAGAGAGUGGAGCCUCGCGAAAUGAGGAACCUGGCACAAGGUUUGCUUGGAAGCAGGAACGACGGAGUGUGGCUACGUGCCCUAUUUGCCAUUAACGCUUUCUUGCAUGGCAGUGAGAGAUGAGGGCAAGGGAGGUGGCAUAAUGCUCCCGGCCGCUUGGGACUCGGAGAGACGGCAUUUAAUAAAUCACACGCGGUAUUUGCGAAACAGUGGUCGAGAUUCGUCUUCCCGGGUUCAUUGCGUCAUUAAUAGGCGGGAACAGUGCCCCUGUGUUGAGGCUGCAGAGGCCCUAAUUGGUUUUCCCAAGACAGAGGGGCAUAUGAAAUUGAACAAAUAUUUGUUGAAUCAAUGAACAAAGGGAACGCCUUUUAGGGAUGUUUCUGGGGGAAAGGCCUAAGGUUCUCCAGGAGGGUCUGCAGCUAGGGUCGGCCGUGGGGGCUCGCAGCCCGCGGGACCACCGGACCUGCAAGCGUCCCCCUGCCCCGCCCCCGCCUCGGCGCUCUGAGCAAUUGGACUCUGCCAGCUCUAACUCCGGCGGGACUCUGAAACUCAGGCAAGAGCCGAGGUGUUCUGGACUUGGAAGAUUUGUUGAAUUACUAUGAAGUCACAUCUAAAGUUUGAAAGAGACGGGGUCUCACUAUUUUGCCCACGCUGGUCUUGAACUCCUGUCCUCAAGCAGGAUAUCCUCCUGCCUUGGGCUCCCAAAGUUCUGGGAUUACAGUCUCGCUCUGUCACCAGGCUGGAGUGCACGCUGGAGCGCGAUCUUGUCUUACUACAACCUCUGCCUCCCAGAUUCAAGCGAUUUUCCUGCCUCAGCCUCCCGAGUAGCUGGGACUACAGGGAUGCACCACCAUGCCCAGCUAAUUUUUGUAUUUGUAGCAGAGAUGGGGUUUCACCAUGUUGGCCAGGAUGGUCUUGAUCUCUUGACCUCGCGAUCCACCCGCCUCGGCUUCCCAAAGUGCUGGGAUUAUAGGCAUAAGCCACCACACCUGGCCUGAAGUUAUUUUUCUAUACAGUUCUUAGAGGAAGUGUUUGGGUCACCUACAUAGGCAUGUAGUUCUCGACACUGGUUACUAGAGGAUUUACAGAGGAUGUUCAUAUAUUCAACAAGCAUUUGUUGAAUACCUAUUAGGUGCUAGCCAUGGAAAUAUGGGAUUGAAAAAAACAGACAAAAAUCCCUAACUCUCUUACAAUCUAGUGAGGACAAUCAGACAGUAAACAAAAUAAGCAUAAUAUAUAGUAAUCAUGUGGUAGUAAGUUCUAUAGAGCAAAAACAAGUUUAAAGAAGGAGGUUGGGGGGAGUGUUGAGAUGCGUAAGGUUUGCAGUUAUAAAUGUGGUGGUUAGGGAAUCAUUUGCUGAAAAAUGAACAUUGAGCAAAAACCUGAAGGAUGUUAAAGGAAUAAGAUACAUGUAAUCCAGAUGAAAGUUUUUUGGAUAAAGGAAAGAGCAAUUGCUAAAUCCCUGAGGUGGGAGUGGGCUGUUCAUAAGACAGCAAAGCAGCCAGGGUAGCUGAGUGAUUGACAGCGGAAGAUGGAAAAUGGGGAAUAGUUGGUGUAGGACCUAGUUUUGAGGAUAUUGACUUUUUUUUUUUUCCAAGACAGAGUUGUGCUCUGUUGCCCAGGCUAGAGUGCAGUGGCAUGAUCUUGGCUCACUGCAAUCUCCGCCUCCCGGGUUCAAGCAAUGCUCCUGCCUUAGCCUCCCCAGUAGCUGGGAUUACAGGCACCUGCCACCAUGUCCAGUUAAUUUUUGUAUUUUUAGUAGAGGUGGGGUUUCGCCAUGUUAGCCAGGCUGGUCUUGGACUCCUGACCUCAAGUGAUCUGCCCGCCUCAGCCUCCCAAAGUGCUGGGAUUACAGGCGUGAGCCACCAUGCCCACCCUAGGAUAUUUACUUUUAUUUUGAAUAAGGAUGCCACUGGAGGCCGGACGUGGUGGCUAACGCCUAUAAUCCCAGCACUUUGGGAGGAUGAGGCGGGUGGAUUACGAGGUUAGGAGAUUGAGACCAUCCUGGCCAACAUGGUGAAACCCCGUCUCUACUAAAAAAAAAAAAAAAAUUUGCCAGGUUUGGUUGCAUGCGCCUGUAGUCCCAGCUACUCAGGAGGCUGAGGAAGGAGAAUCACUUGAACCCGGGAGGUGGAGGUUGCAGUGAGCCGAGAUCGCCCCACUGUACUGCAGCCUGGGUGACAGAGCAAGACUCUGUCUCAAAAAAAAAAAAAAAAAAAGAAAAUGCCACUGGAGAGCUUUGAGGAGAGGAUCAGUCUGGCUACUGGGUUGAGAAUUAAUCAUAGCAGGCAAAGGCAAAAGAAGUGAGGUUAGUUAGGAGGCUUUACAACAACCCAGAUGAGAGAUGGGAGGUUUUAGCCAGGGAGAUGGAGAUGUUGAGAGAGUAGCUGGACUCAGGAUUGUGACAGAGGACUGAAGGAAAAGCAGGUUUUGGGGGAAGAUUGCAUUUCUCCCUUCAACUUCAGUUACGUAGAUCACCCAUAUGCCACACAACUGCAACUCUGUAACAGCCAAUUUUUAGCUUCUUCCUUAUCUAAGCCAUCCUGUAGGCCAUAGGAAUUAAAACUAGGUUGGAUCAAGGAAAAGUGAAUGCUAGAUCCAUACAAAACUAUUUGGAUAUUUGCCUUUGUAUUUUAUUGUUUCGAAAUUAUUUUUAAUGGUUCAAUAAACUCUUACUAGAACUACAAGCAAUAUAAUUAUUUCCUCUGCUUUAUUAGAAAUGUUUUUGUAAUCAUGUUAAUUAUAUUACUUUUAACUAUAUAAGGCUUGUGUCUCUUUUUUAUAAAUUGAUGUUUAUAUCCUCUGUAAGAUAAAUAUAAAGCCUUUUUGUUCAUAUGAGGAUGUGCUGUAAGAUUGCAGGGAGUAUAAAAAUUGGCAGUGGAGUAGCUGACUUGUAUUAUUAGUCUGAUCUUAAUGUUGUAACAUACUGAUCAUGCAAAAUAUAUAGUUUGUUUUUGCUAUUUAAUACAUGUAGGACUGUAACAAACAGACUAGAGAAGAUGGCCAUAAGGUACAAGAAAGCAAGUAAAUUACUAUCUAAUUAAAGUAUUUGAUUCUAAUACUAGCAGAGUUCUGUCUAGAAAAUAAAUUAACUUUCUGUAUGCUUUU